CAGUCGAACGAAGCACUUUAAUUGAUUUCUUCGGAAUGAAGUUUUUGUGACUGAGUGGCGGACGGGUGAGUAACGCGUGGGUAACCUGCCUCAUACAGGGGGAUAACAGUUGGAAACGACUGCUAAUACCGCAUAAGCGCACAGGAUUGCAUGAUCCAGUGUGAAAAACUCCGGUGGUAUGAGAUGGACCCGCGUCUGAUUAGCCAGUUGGCGGGGUAACGGCCCACCAAAGCGACGAUCAGUAGCCGACCUGAGAGGGUGACCGGCCACAUUGGGACUGAGACACGGCCCAAACUCCUACGGGAGGCAGCAGUGGGGAAUAUUGCACAAUGGGGGAAACCCUGAUGCAGCGACGCCGCGUGAGCGAAGAAGUAUUUCGGUAUGUAAAGCUCUAUCAGCAGGGAAGAAGAAUGACGGUACCUGACUAAGAAGCACCGGCUAAAUACGUGCCAGCAGCCGCGGUAAUACGUAUGGUGCAAGCGUUAUCCGGAUUUACUGGGUGUAAAGGGAGCGCAGGCGGUGCGGCAAGUCUGAUGUGAAAGCCCGGGGCUCAACCCCGGUACUGCAUUGGAAACUGUCGUACUAGAGUGUCGGAGGGGUAAGCGGAAUUCCUAGUGUAGCGGUGAAAUGCGUAGAUAUUAGGAGGAACACCAGUGGCGAAGGCGGCUUACUGGACGAUAACUGACGCUGAGGCUCGAAAGCGUGGGGAGCAAACAGGAUUAGAUACCCUGGUAGUCCACGCCGUANACGAUGAAUACUAGGUGUUGGGAANCAUUGCUUCUCGGUGCCGU
RNAcentral lists this ribosomal RNA (791 nucleotides) under uncultured bacterium. Its description in RNAcentral is "bacterial SSU rRNA". It matches the Rfam family "Bacterial small subunit ribosomal RNA", at positions 59 to 849 of the family's 1533-position model. The record is from RNAcentral.